RNAcentral lists this ribosomal RNA (460 nucleotides) under uncultured bacterium. RNAcentral's name for it is "partial 16S ribosomal RNA". It matches the Rfam family "Bacterial small subunit ribosomal RNA", at positions 338 to 795 of the family's 1533-position model. The record is from RNAcentral.
CCUACGGGUGGCAGCAGUGAGGAAUAUUGGUCAAUGGACGCAAGUCUGAACCAGCCAUGCCGCGUGCAGGAAGACGGCUCUAUGAGUUGUAAACUGCUUUUGUACGAGGGUAAACGCAGAUACGCGUAUCUGUCUGAAAGUAUCGUACGAAUAAGGAUCGGCUAACUCCGUGCCAGCAGCCGCGGUAAUACGGAGGAUUCAAGCGUUAUCCGGAUUUAUUGGGUUUAAAGGGUGCGUAGGCGGUCGGAUAAGUUAGAGGUGAAAUCCCGAGGCGUAACUUCGGAAUUGCCUCUGUUACUGUUCGGCGAGAGAGUAGUUGCGGUAGGCGGAAUGUAUGGUGUAGCGGUGAAAUGCUUAGAGAUCAUACAGAACACCGAUUGCGAAGGCAGCUUACCAAGCUACUUCUGAUGUUGAGGCACGAAAGCGUGGGGAGCAAACAGGAUUAGAUACCCGGGUAGUC